GGGCCAAAAAGGUUAGUUACCCGCGGUUUUCCCCCCUAUAAAACAUGAGUGUUUAAAGUUUAGGGGUUUUCCCCCCUUUUAUUUUUGCGAUAAACCUCUACCCAUUCCAUGGGGGGUUUCGGGUUCAGGGUUGAACUUCAAAGGUAUUUUUUGGGGCCGCCCACCCGGGUUUGCAAGCGGAAAAAAUUAGACACUAUGGCAGCCUAAGAGUUUGAUCCUGGCUCAGGACGAACGCUGGCGGCGUGCCUAAUACAUGCAAGUCGAGCGAACAGAGAAGGAGCUUGCUCCUUCGACGUUAGCGGCGGACGGGUGAGUAACACGUGGGCAACCUACCUUAUAGUUUGGGAUAACUCCGGGAAACCGGGGCUAAUACCGAAUAAUCUAUUUUACUUCAUGGUGAAAUACUGAAAGACGGUUUCGGCUGUCGCUAUAAGAUGGGCCCGCGGCGCAUUAGCUAGUUGGUGAGGUAACGGCUCACCAAGGCGACGAUGCGUAGCCGACCUGAGAGGGUGAUCGGCCACACUGGGACUGAGACACGGCCCAGACUCCUACGGGAGGCAGCAGUAGGGAAUCUUCCACAAUGGGCGAAAGCCUGAUGGAGCAACGCCGCGUGAGUGAAGAAGGUUUUCGGAUCGUAAAACUCUGUUGUAAGGGAAGAACAAGUACAGUAGUAACUGGCUGUACCUUGACGGUACCUUAUUAGAAAGCCACGGCUAACUACGUGCCAGCAGCCGCGGUAAUACGUAGGUGGCAAGCGUUGUCCGGAAUUAUUGGGCGUAAAGCGCGCGCAGGCGGUCCUUUAAGUCUGAUGUGAAAGCCCACGGCUCAACCGUGGAGGGUCAUUGGAAACUGGGGGACUUGAGUGCAGAAGAGGAAAGUGGAAUUCCAAGUGUAGCGGUGAAAUGCGUAGAGAUUUGGAGGAACACCAGUGGCGAAGGCGACUUUCUGGUCUGUAACUGACGCUGAGGCGCGAAAGCGUGGGGAGCAAACAGGAUUAGAUACCCUGGUAGUCCACGCCGUAAACGAUGAGUGCUAAGUGUUAGGGGGUUUCCGCCCCUUAGUGCUGCAGCUAACGCAUUAAGCACUCCGCCUGGAGACGUCG
This 1102-nucleotide ribosomal RNA is filed under the name Lysinibacillus sp. TSSAS2-41. Its description in RNAcentral is "bacterial SSU rRNA". The stretch from base 200 to 1102 matches the Rfam family "Bacterial small subunit ribosomal RNA", at positions 1 to 884 of the family's 1533-position model. Lineage: Bacteria; Bacillati; Bacillota; Bacilli; Caryophanales; Bacillaceae. The record is from RNAcentral.